This is an RNA transcript of Fragaria vesca subsp. vesca, 2839 nucleotides long. It is a transcript of the gene named probable disease resistance protein At5g66900-like, with no coding region annotated. The record is from RefSeq and is a predicted model, not a curated record. Lineage: Eukaryota; Viridiplantae; Streptophyta; Magnoliopsida; Rosales; Rosaceae. The transcript has 6 exons.
UACGGCACGAAACGUCAUGGCAGUGGCGUUUGAUGGACAAGCAGUUUUCCAAGCAUUAUUCAAUGUUGUCAGUGAAGUGAUUGAGAAGAAUUCAAUGUUUAAAUCCCAGCUUGUAGAUAUCAAAUCAGCUCUAGACUGUUUAGAACCACUGAUUGAAGUGAUACCAGAGUACGGAAAGGAAUUGGAUCGGCAAGAGGAGGAACUACAGAAGUUUACAAUACAAAUGAAGGAGGGAAUUCAGCUGAUUCACAAGUGCUCCAAAGUUCAUGCGUGGAAUGCAUACAAGAGACACAAAUACGCAAAUGAACUUGUUGAAUUGGAUAAAUCUCUACAAAGGCUGAUGGAUAUACUGAAAGUGCUUGGCAUCAGAGAUGCGAAGAAAACACUGGCUACAGUAAAGAAUAUUGAGACUAGGUUCCAGCAGAUUGAUGAGAAAUUUGUGGUACAAAAUAUUCCAUCUAAAAAAAUUGAAGCUUGGUCGGCAGUACCUGAAUUACCACCUCUUACAGUUGGACUGGAGGGGCCUUUGAAAGAAUUGAAGCUAAUGCUUCUUAAGGAUGGGUUAUCAAUGCUUGUGCUCACUGCUCCAGGAGGAUGCGGGAAAACUACAUUGGCAACUAAGUUUUGUCAAGAUGCAGAAGUGCGAGACAAGUUCAAGAACAAUAUCUUCUUUGUAACGGUAUCAAAGAAGCCCAACUUAAACCUUAUUGUACAAGAGCUUUGUCAACGCAAGGGUUCCCAGGUACCGGAUUUCCAAACUGACGUAAGUGCAGUCGACUGGCUGCAAGAAUUCGUAAAGCAAACAGAUCCUUUGCUGUUGGUUUUGGAUGAUAUUUGGUCUGAAUCCGAAUCCCUUCUUGAGAAGCUUGAUGAAUUGAAAAUUGCAAAUCACAAGAUUCUGGGGACAUCUAGAUUUGUAUUUCCAAGAUUUUGUCCUCCAUAUUAUUUAGAGUCCUUGAAUGAAAAAGAUGCAACAGCACUUUUUUAUCAUUCAGCAUCAUUGGGAGAUAGGAGCUCUCAUGUUCCAGAAGACCUUUCAAGAAAGAUAGUAGAACAUUGUAAGGGAUUUCCACUUGCCAUUACAGUGAUUGGAAGAUCACUUUGUGGGCAGCCUUUGGAGAUCUGGCAAAAAAGAGUAAUUGAAUGGACUAAAGGUUCAUCCAUUCUUGAUUCUGAUCAUCAUUUGCUUGCUUGUCUCCAAAGCAGCUUAGAUGCCUUGGAGAAAGAAAAUAGUGUCAUCAAGGAAUGUUUCAUGGAUCUUGGUUCAUUUCCUGAGGACCAAAGAAUAUCUGCUACUAUCCUCAUUGAUAUAUGGUCGGUGUUAUAUAAGAUAGAGGAAGACAUGCUUUGCAUUGGAAACGUUGAGGAACUCAACAAUAGGAGUUUGGCCACUCUUGUAGUCACAAGGAAGGACAACAAGGAGGUGGAUGGAUAUUACGCUGAACAUUUUGUUACUCAGCAUGACAUUCUUAGAGAAUUGGCUAUCUAUCAGGCAAGUCUAGGGUCAAUAGAACAAAGAAAAAGGGUAAUAAUAGAUAUCUGUGGAGAUAAUCUUCCCGAAUGGUGGAUAAAACAGAAGUAUCAACCCAUCAGCGCUCGCCUUGUAUCUAUCUCAACAGAUGGAGACUUCUCAGCUACAUGGCCUAACAUGGAAUUACCACAAGCAGAGGUUCUAAUUCUGAAUUUUCAGUCAAAGAAAUAUGCCUUACCCGAAUUUCUGGAGAAAGUGGAUAAAUUAAAGGUUCUGAUAAUCACAAAUUAUGGUGUUUUACCUGCUCAGAUAAAUAAUUUUCCGUUACUUAGGUCUUUAUCAAAUCUAAAGAGGAUCAGGUUAGAACGAAUCUCAAUACCUUCCAUAAGCAAGGACCCUGUGCAGUUGGAUAAUUUGGAAAAUAUAUCUUUAUUCAUGUGCAACGUCAGUAAAGCUUUUAGCAACUGUUCCAGCCAACUUGUAGAUCUAUUGCCAAAUGUGGUGGAAAUAAACAUUGAUUAUUGCAAUGAUUUGGUGGAACUGCCUGCCAUGCUUUGUGACCUGAUUCCCCUUAAAAAGCUUAGUAUCACCAAUUCUCACAAGCUAUCUGCCUUACCUGAAGAAAUAGGAAAGUUAGUGAACUUAGAAGUGUUGAGGGUCAGGUCUUGUACAGACUUGUCGGUGCUGCCAGACUCAAUUCGGCACCUCAAAAUGUUAAGUUUUCUGGACAUAUCUGAUUGCUAUAGUAUGAAGGAGCUCCCUGAACACAUUGGUGAAAUGUGCAGCUUAGAAACGCUAAAUAUGAGACAAUGCUCAAGACUGCAAGAGUUGCCUGAAUCAGUGUUGGAUCUUGAACAGUUGGAGGAUGUGAUUUGUGAUGAAGAGACUGAAAUAUUAUGGAAACCGUUCUUGCCCAUUCUCCAAAACAUACAUAUCAGGGUAGUGAAAGAAGAUAUUAACUUGAAUUGGCUCCACAAGUUUCCAUCUUAAAAGAAAUGUUUUCCCAGUAACUAUUGGAGUGAUGCCUCUGUAAGUUGUGCCCAGCUUUUUCUCCAUACUGCUCCACAGGGAGAAUAGUUGAGACACAGCAAUGCCUAUGAUAUUCUGUAUUUUAAUGCUAAUGUUUGUAAUUUAUUUGGGAUAUUUGUAUUUAUUAAACAGUGAGUAAACCUUCCCUGUAAAUUAUGUAGCCCAUCAUUUGACCUAUGUAGCUAGUGGUGUGAGGAAGAAUGUAUUUGGUUAUGUUGAGUUCUUGAUAGUAGGAGACUGGGAGUGAGGGUCAAGCCUCAAAGUUCUGGGUUACAAAGCCCUAAAAAAAAGAGUGUAGUAAGUCUGGAAUGUAUUAUACAACUUUUCGUUUUGUGAUCA